This 552-nucleotide ribosomal RNA is filed under the name uncultured bacterium Beta-130. Its description in RNAcentral is "bacterial SSU rRNA". It matches the Rfam family "Bacterial small subunit ribosomal RNA", at positions 358 to 903 of the family's 1533-position model. The record is from RNAcentral.
GGGANUUUGGACAAUGGGCGCAAGCCUGAUCCAGCCAUGCCGCGUGAGUGAAGAAGGCCUUCGGGUUGUAAAGCUCUUUCGGCGGGGACGAAACGGUNCGUGACAACACCACGGACUAAUGACGGUACUCGCAGAAGAAGCACCGGCUAACUACGUGCCAGCAGCCGCGGUAAUACGUAGGGUGCAGGCGUUAAUCGGAAUUACUGGGCGUAAAGCGUGCGCAGGCGGCUCCUUAAGUCAGAUGUGAAAUCCCCGGGCUUAACCUGGGAACUGCGUUUGAAACUGGGGAGCUGGAGUGUGGAAGAGGGGGGUGGAAUUCCAGGUGUAGCAGUGAAAUGCGUAGAGAUCUGGAGGAACACCGAUGGCGAAGGCAGCCCCCUGGGCUAACACUGACGCUCAUGCACGAAAGCGUGGGGAGCAAACAGGAUUAGAUACCCUGGUAGUCCACGCCCUAAACGAUGUCAACUAGUUGUUAGGGAAGCAAUUCCUUGGUAACGAAGCUAACGCGUGAAGUUGACCGCCUGGGGAGUACGGCCGCAAGGUUAAAACUCA